Molecule: long non-coding RNA, 214 nt
Filed under: Capsicum annuum
Lineage: Eukaryota; Viridiplantae; Streptophyta; Magnoliopsida; Solanales; Solanaceae
Description: long non-coding RNA (CANN_LNC005673)
Source: RNAcentral
AUAAAUCUUGAUCGAUGAAAUUCGUGCUACGUGACAGCACAUUGAAUGAGAUCUGAUAUCAAGUGAUUGGUUCUUUCCUUAUUUUAGUCAUGAAGCGUAGCCUCCCUUCCAGUUGGAUAGAUAAACUUAAGAGAACUGUAACUAUUAUAUCCUUUUUUAUUCUCUCUGGUCACCGAGGGGGACAGCCUUCACAAUGAGCGCUCGUUGUUCAUCU